AAGAUACAAGAAAAUGAGCUGAUAUAGGACUUUUUAAAUCUAAACUAUGUAUUUCAAGGUAGCGGUAUGGGGAGGGGACAACACAGAUUCAAACAUUCUAGAGCAACAACCCCAUAAAGUGAAAACCAAUGCUCACCAUGGGCUAUGAGAUACCACAAGAUUCUGGCCUAAAGAUUCAACGAGGUUUACUCUCUUGUACUUACCAAAGCAGGAAAUGUAAGAAAAAAAAUUCAGCAGCAAUGGCUAACUCUUCACUAUGAAGAACUCCAUACGAAAAAAAAUGUUAACUAAGAUUCAUUUAAGGAUGACAACAUGGAUUGUUUUUUUUUUUUUUUUUUUUCUUUAAAAGGGAGAGAUGAUCAUUCGCACUGCAAAAGGACAAAGUCUACAGUCAUUUAAGGUUGGCAGUUCGAUUCCAUUUAAAAUGAAAGUAUGUGUUUUCUGGUUGCUUUGCAAUUAAGAACCAUGUUUAUAGUAUUUACUUAUUUGGUUAGAUUUAGCAAAAUGUAAUUGGAAAAAAAAUAAGCAAUGAAUUCAUUGGAAUAUUUCUGAAAAUGUGUUCUAAGAAACAUCAGUCCCUCAGGAUGGUUUGGAAAAUUUUCUUAUGGUUUAAUAAGUUUGGGAAAUACUGUAUAAUACAUGGUCCUAUUGGGACUUUAAGUAAUACAUUAAUAUUAUUAUAGGCUUUAAGAAUCUUCACCUCUAAGAAUAACAUUUAGCUUAGCCCAAAGCACAGAACUGUUCCAAAUGUCUUUGACCAUCAAAGCUGUUCUCCUAGUAAUACCUAUUAAACUCCUACACAAAGAGUGUUGUUUGAAACACACUUCAGAAAUUGCUGAUGUCUGGUGUACAGUGUGGUGGCCAUAUAAUUAUAGUGAUACCUAUAAAAGCAGAGUAAUGUGAAACAUAUUCUGCUGUCCAUUCCGUCUGUCCACAGUCAGAAGGAUAAUUAAGCUGAGAUAGAUGGCUCACAUGCAACAAAAAGGGAGAGAGACUGGUUUUGAAACGUUUUUUUUCCCAGCCCUAGAUUUUUACACUCUAUUGAUUUUACUAUGUUACUUGGGGAAAGUAUUAGCAUACAUAUAUAGUUACAUACAAACACAAACAAUUUAGAGGCCUAGAAAACAGUCAACACUAUAUUAGUUCAAAUAUCUUCGAGAACCUUCUCUCUGCUAGGCAUUCUGUUGAUGAGAGAAUAGAACAUACAGCUUUGGUGUUUCAGAGUCCAAUGUCGAAGAGGAGGGUGGUGAGAAAUAAUUUCUCCAACAACAUGCUUUUCCUGAAAUCUAACAACCUCUCAAACGAAUUAAGAACACCAAGAUGGAAACUUUAACAUAAUCUGAAGUGAUUGGGUAUGAUUUCAACUAUUCUCUGAAGGCUACAUUUCAUCUGAUAUUUUGCAGAGAAAGGUACGGUAAUGGAAGAGAAUAUAUAUGGAGAUACUACUCAAAUGAUUAUGCUGGUUUUCCACACUAAAAUUUACUUAACUAUAUAACACUGUUCAACAUAAGAUUUUUAUUUUAGACUUUGUAUUACAUAAUAAUUACACAUGGAUUUUCUACUAUAGGCUAAAAAGGUAAGAUUUUUUUAAGGAAAUGAUUAUUAUCUCAUGGGAGUUCAUAAUCUAAUUAGAAAAACAAAAUAUGUAUCCAUACAAUGGAUAACACCACAAGGGAGAUAUGAUUAAGUGUCGUGAUAAAUGACAGGAGAUAAAGAUAGCAGGUGCUAUAAGAGGAUUAGAGAAAAGAAAUCAAGCUUCACUAUUUUCAUGGAUAUAAAACACCUAAAUUAUAAAAUCAACCUGAUUUAAGUGGAUUUAACUUGUCAUUUUGAUUUUGCUUGUUUAAAGUUUUACAGAAUUGAGACUUCUCACCAGGUGGCCAGAUAGAGAAUAGAACAUGCUACCUGGUGACACCUGCUGCAAAUCAAGAGACUGUGUGCCCAUACAUACACACGCACGUGCUUGCAUUUAUGUAUAUAGACAUACACGCACACACUGCCUGAUUUGAAUUUCUAUGAACCCAAUUUGUAUUUGCAUUGGGGCUCAAUAUUGUGAGAUUCUCAAAUGCAAGAAACUGUGAAAAUACCUGGUCUCAUUAUCUAAACUUUCAGUCUGAGGUUUAGCCAUCCCUGAACAAUCAUGGCCCAGCGCCGAAAGUAAAGAUGCAUCUCCAUAAGCACAAAUUGUAACAAUAACACUUUGCAUUUCUGAAACAUCUUCUAUUGAAAUAGCUCAUUCUCAGCACUGUUUACAAGCAUUAAUUUAACCUCACAAGAGAAAGAUAAUUUGCAAGGAAUAGGUUAACUGUCUGGUUUGAGAUAGCGCAGUUCCUAGCAUCAGUAUCAAGCAAAGCCUUUCUCACUGCAACCCACAGACUUGACACAAGCAAAACCUACCUGCAUUCCUUUUAAAAUUUUGCUUUCAAAUACUCCCUGACACACUAUCCUAAUAAAUAACAAAAUCCACGAAAUCCUCUCUAAUGUGGUUCUGCCUUUGUUGUUGCUAUCAUUCACAAUCUUUCUCAGGCCUGGCAAGGUCUUUUUCUGUGGGUCUCGAUCUGCUGACAGGAAAAUCAUUACAUAGAAAAGAAUAAUGUCAAAUAUGGGGUGGGGGGGGUCAUUUAUAGGAUGAACACAAAAAUGAAGGAGGUCUGAAACCUCACAGGUAUACUUCAUCAAAAUUCGUCCUAUAGUUCGUUAAUGAAAGUGGUGAUCAUCAGCAUAUGGCAGAUUAGAAUAAGAACAGCAGCAGUGGGUCAGACAAAAAUUUGGUAACAUUUCUCCUCACUGGUUCCCCUGCUGGAAGUCAAGGGAAUUAAAAAUCAGAAUGUUCUGAAAGCAGAAAAGUAUAGUUUUGUGGAAGGAAGGGAAAACAGGGACUCUGACAAUUAUCCUUAGCACUUGGAAACCUUCAUUACUCACUUCUUUUGUUCAAUUAAAUGUAUAGUUGAGCAUUUUUCCAUAAUCAAGGUAUAUACUAGGAGACAGAAGUCCUCAAAAAAGACAAAUAAUAAAGCAAAAAAAAAAAUUUAAAGACUAUUUAUUCACAAGAGACAGAAAGAGAGACAGACACAUAGACAGAGGGAGGAGAAGCAGGCUCCAUGCAGGGAGUCUGAUGUGGGACUCAGUCUCGGGACUCCGGGAUCAUGCCCUGAGCCAAAGGCAGAUGCUCAACCACUGAGCCACUGAGAUGUCCCAAAAGAAAAAAAAAAUUAAAUAAAGCAAAAAGCCAUGAGAAUAUGUUCAUUCAGUCAGUAUAUCUGAAUCAUCUACAAUAGACAUGGCCAGAAGUUCUUAUAAGUGGUGAUGCUUUGGGGGUACCCUGGAGAACUUCGGAAUUUAGCUACGGUAGUUUUUGGUUGUCACAAUAACUAGCAGAGCUCCUAGUACUAACUGAUCAGUAUCCAGAAACGCCUGACACAUCACAAGAGUCAGGACAGUCUGAUCAAACAAUAACUGUCCCAACCCUGCAUGACUUUCAAACAUUCCAUUGCAAGUUCAUACAGGUGAGAAGUUGUUUUAUAAUUCUUUGACAUUAGAACCUAUCUCCAUCUUAUAUUCAUUGUACAAAGAAUGAUUUACAGUUUUAACAGAUACUGAAUUCUAAGUGCAAAUAUCAUACUAACCACAAAUCUAUUUUACGCUAUUUGGAUGAGAAUUUACCAAUACGUAGUCAGAAUUUUGGAAAAUCACAUCAUCAAUGGCUAUGCCACGGCACUUGAGUCAACAAUGUGCUGUGUGUGCCACAGUCAUGGCCAAGUGAUGCCAUGAAUACAAGUAUGCAUCUGCUCACUUUAUUAUAUUUUCUCAGAAAGUCAUGCCUAAGCAUUUAUAUAUUGAAAUCUAUGGCAUUUUACCAUAAUUACUUUUCCUUUAUAUCCACUAUUAUAGCUUAUUACAUGACUAUUUAAGAAUUAUGUGUGCAGGUAGGUUAUAUUAUGUAUUAAUUUCAGCUCAGGAUAAUAAAGGGAUAUUACCUAUUAGUUGUUAUCAAUACCACAUAUUUGUUAUACAUAUUAUUGUAUAUUCUUAUAAAUAAUAUUGAAUAUUAAAAAGGAGGUGGGCCUGUGCUAUACAAUGGUAAUAGCGAUAGAGGGAGGAUUCUUGUAUUCAUAAUGCCAAACAGUCUGGUUUAAAAAACAAGUGUUAAGCCAAUAAGCACAUAGGUAAAAUCACAAACAGUCCUAAGUGCUACAAAGGAAAAAAAAAAAAAAACAAAAACAAAAACAAAACAAAAACAAAAAGACCACGAAUUGAAAGGGAACAGCAGAUAACAUCAUCUGAAUGGAACAGGGUCAGGGAACACUUAAGCAAAAAGAAAGACCCACAAGAUGUCUAGAACUUAUCAAACGGAGAGGGGGUACACAGGAAGCAGAGGGCAGAGCAUGUACAGGUUCAUAUAACUACAAUGAAGAGGAGAAGAAGGGAGUUAAACCAGGGUGAAGGAUCAGGACAGUCACAUAUAGGAAGGGACAGCUUUUGCAUAUCCUCCAUCUCUGUGUAUAAUACUUCCACCUUGCUAAGUACAUUUUCCUUUAAAAGGGAUUCAGAUCUCUGCUCAGAAUCUAUUUAAUGGACCCCAAAUUUUUCCAGAGAACGAAAAAAACAUAACGUGUCACCAGAGUAUACGUACCCUGCUUAAAUGCCUUGAGAUAGAUUAAAGUAUUCCAAUAUUUUCUCUGGGUGAAUGCCAUCUGAAUUGACAAAUUGGGAUUUCCACUCUCUACUCCACAUUUAGCAUGGUAUUGCCCAAACAUUGAAGCAAAUGGCUUCUUGCCUAAGGGUCUGAAAAUAACAAAGCCAAGCAAUACGCACCCAGGGCUCCCUUUGGAUCACUCAAUCAAAGAAAAUAUUAAGUAGUACUGUUUUCAUAACUACCAUUGUGGGGACACUCCGGUGUUGAGAACGAAGCUAAUUCCCUCUCUCGUAAUGCAAUACAGCGGAGAAAAUUCACUGAAGAGGAUUUGUCUGAUAAACUACAAAUAUACAGUAGAUGACUCCAAUCACACACCACAAGCUUUCUUUCUAAGAAGUGUGUACAUAAAAGGAAACCAUCGACUUUUUGAAGCCAGCUAUCGCCCCCUUUUGCAAUCUUGCACCCACUUGGGUAGAAGCAUGGGCAAAGUACAGUUAAAUGAAAUCUUAGCUGUGAGUCUCCUUGCUAACCAUGCAGUGAUUUGGAAAAACUGGGGGGAGGGCAAACACUCAUGGUCUCCCUUCUGAUAGCUUCCCUCCUCCCACUAUCCUCUGCUUAUUUUCUACUUUUCUUUUAAAAAGAACCAGAAGGAAAUCCAUCCUUAUCUGAGCCUGGGUGAGAAAGAAUCUUUAGGAAAAGGUGUGACUAGCUAGGACACAUCUGACACAUAGGCUAAUUGGGGUGUAGGUGGGGAGGCUAUUUCUCAUUCACCCACCCUUCACAGCCGUUGCUGCCUCUACUCCCUCUCUUCAUCAGCCAGUUGAUUGUAUCCCUUUUCUCCUAGUGGAUCAGAAAACAAUUAGGACCCAGACCUAUUACUUUGGAAAGGCUAAAAAGCUUUGCUGUAAAAAUUAAUCCUAUGAGACAUGGAAUUGCUAUCAUGCUUUUCAACUGAGAGAAAAAAGUUUCAUGAUUGACUUUGGGUGGUGGGGGGAGGUUUGGGGUUCUAUAUAAUAUAGGUCUUGGAAAACCUUUAACUUGACUGAAAUUCCAGGUCAUGAAUGUGUUUUUGAAAGCAAGAAGAAAAACUAAAAUCCUUCUGUUUCAAUCGAAUCUCUUCUAAGAUGGGUAGACAUAGGUAUUUUCAGAAACAAUGUUACCUUGUAUUUAAUAUUUGUGAAAUAAAAGUAUAAAUCCCAAAGUUCUAGUCUAUAGUCUCAAUGUAGGAUCCAGUCCUAGCAAUAAAACAGCACACAGACAUCUGUAGGUGGAGAGGGAGGGAUUAGUUACACUAAAUUUAAAGAGGUUCCAUGAUCUUCCUUCGAUUGAAUGUAAAAAUAGGUGUAUGAUUCUAUGUGUGAUAGGCCAGGGUCAGCCUACAGCUGCUUAGAAAGCCUCUGGACUGGAAAGCUUCUAUGAUCCAUGCAGAACCUUGAUACUAUUUUUUAAGUGUUAGGUUGCACUGUCCCUAGAUUCUUAGUUGGAAAUUCUACAUUAGGUUCCAGAUAUCAUACCAGGUGACUUGGAUGAUAGAAUGCUCAUCUGGGGAUUCAGAUGCAGAUUAUGUGUUUCAUAAAUUGAUAAUGAAUAAAAGCCAAGAGUGAAGAGAAUUCAUGCUUCAUGGUAACAGGACUUCCCACCCAUGCUGGUCUCCUAAUCAUUGACCUAGAGCAUUACUUUGAGAGGAAUGCAGCAGAAAAUGAAGCUUCUAUCUGCUUUGCCUCCUCCUGUAUCCUUUGCCACAUAUGAAUUGGUUACAAGUAAAACCUUAUUAGCCACCAUAAUAAUAAGUAAGAGGCCAAAUGUUUCAUAUCUGCUGUCCCAUGAACCUGCAGAAGUCUGGGUCUCUCCCAUUGCAAAUGCACAUUAUUCUAGAGUCCUAAUAAUAUUCACAUUCUUAGGGGAGGAUCAUCACCCCAAUAAAGGUUAAAAUUAAAUGCUCUAUAAAAUGCAGAUUCACUUGGCCAUCCCAUUUCAGGCUUCAGA
Molecule: long non-coding RNA, 6622 nt
Filed under: Canis lupus familiaris (dog)
Lineage: Eukaryota; Metazoa; Chordata; Mammalia; Carnivora; Canidae
Description: lncRNA (ENSCAFG00000054658.1)
Source: RNAcentral